This is a long non-coding RNA of Cryptomeria japonica (Japanese cedar), 1115 nucleotides long. RefSeq lists it as uncharacterized. The transcript has 2 exons. NCBI's taxonomy places the organism in Eukaryota, Viridiplantae, Streptophyta, Pinopsida, Cupressales, Cupressaceae. The record is from RefSeq and is a predicted model, not a curated record.
UGAUGCCUAGGAAAGAGGCUAGCUGGCCAGAAAAGUGGGAGAUGCUUAAUCAUAGAGCAUGUGAUGUUCAACUGCUGUCCAUUCAGACAGGUCCUAUGGAGGCUAAGCACUGGUUUCAGAUGAAUUUUCGUGAGACAGAGGCUCUCUUGCUAUUCUUUACUUCAAAUGAGUAAUUUCUUCCUCCAUUUCUGAAGUCUAUGAAAAUGCUAAAAUUUCUCAUGGUAUUCAAUUAUGGGACAAAGAGGGCAACAAUAAAAGAUCUAGAUGUGCUGUCUUCACUGACUCAACUCAAGAGUGUCCGCUUGCAGAGGUUGAUUGCAUCCCCUGUUCUAAAACAAAGCAAACAAAUAUCCAGCUUAGAGAAGCUAUGUUUAAGCUUAUGCGAGGGGUUUGAAUAUGUAUCCACAUUCAACAGUAUCAAGCUGCGAGAUUUUAACCUUGAUCACUGCAGCAGCUUGGAAGAGGUGCCCCUUAGUUUCUGUUAUAUGUCCUCUGCUCAGAUGUGAUCUAUUAGCAACUGUCAUCUGCUUAAGAUGUUACCUUAUGACCUUGGAAAUAUGAACUCUCUGAGAAUGUUAAGGUUAUCAGCUUUACCAGGCCUAAAAGAGCUUCCAGCAUCAAUUGGAAAACUCGAACGGUUGGAAUGUCUAGACAUUUCAUCGUGUGAGGGGCUAAGAGGACUUCCAGAGGAGAUUGGGCAACUAAAGAAACUGACAGAUUUUUAUAUGAGAGACUGUUCUCGUUUGAUGAGCUUACCAAGAGCUGUUUGUGAACUGACUUCCCUCAAGCUUGUUAUCUGUGAUGAGAAGAUUGGGAAACAAUGGUUGCGGGCAAAGAACAUUUCUAUUCCAGAGCUAAGGGUUGAAAUUGUUGAGACACACUUUAGUUUGGAGUGGCUCGAUGAUUAACUUCAUUUUACUUUUCAGCGUGAAGCAUAAUUUCCAUGUAACUUGACAAGUACCCUUAUAUGUUUUUAGCCUAUAGUUAUGAUCAAUAUUCGUCGCUUUUUAGGAUAGUAAGAACUAUUUACUGUAUUAUGCGUGCAGACCAACUUAUUCUCCAUCCAAAUGCAUUUCUUUGUUUCGAAUAAAGCCAGGAAGUGAUUUUCUUGUAAA